CUGCCAGAAACAUUGGCAGCUGUUCUGGCUCUGCUGUUUGCAUGAGACACCUCUGUGGCUGGCGUACAGGGACACAAUCUGUCACUCAACCUUAACUUUAAGACAAAGAGAAAAUUAGAGUGUGCCCUUGCUAUCUAGUCUUGAGACAGAGUGAAAGAACCUUGGAGUGCUAAUUGUGAUGGGAAGUCAACGUCUUCACAGCGCAAGCAGGGAAAAAGGCGUCCCCCACCUUGGUCCCCAAGUCCCCUGGGAUAGGCUCCGGGCUUCCCAUGACCCUGUGUAAGAUAAGCGGUAUAGAAAAUGGAUGGAUGGAUGUUAAUAUGUUUACAGUAUUUAGCAGACCCCCUUGUCUGGAGUGACUUACAGAAAUGCUUUUUUAGUCUCAGAUGACACCAUCAAAAACAUAUCCUCAUGCUAGUUAAAUAGGUCAGAGUCUAAGAAUACCAUCAAGCUAAAACUAUUACAGGAAGUUAGUAAAGAAGUUAGUAGAAAACACAACACACCAGUCAAGAGAUUUUUUAAAUGAAAUAAUUGCUAAUUCAAGUACUUUGUGAAGACAUAAGUCUUCGGGCUUUGUUUGAAGACAGCCAGUGAUUCAGUUGUUCAAUCUGCUAGGGGAAGUUCAUUCUACCACUUGGGUGCUAGGACAGAGAAGUCUUGGUGCAGGUCUUUGUGGUACCAUAAGAAUGGUGUCAAUUGAGCCAUGCUAGUGGCUCAUAGGGAACAUGGUUCAGAGCACAGUGUGAUACAUGAGUUCAGUUAGGUUGGGGCUGGUCUGUUUUUAGCUUUGUAGGCAAGUAUUGGUUUUAAUAAGCCAGUGGAGGGAAGGCAGCAAUUGGGUAGGCAAGCAGAUACGAGGCAAACCACCACCAUGCUGUGCCACCAAUUUCAAGACUUGUGAAAAUAGACAGGAGAGUCUUGUGAUUGACAAUGUCAAGGGGGUUCUGAAAAGUCAAGGAAGUUAAGGACCAAUGACAACUUGGCUGAUCUCUCAGUGUGAAGCUUUUCAGUAACAGCCACAAUGGCAGCGCAUGUGGAGUGUGUUGCUUUGAGCCCAGACUGCAGAAGAUCUUGGUGGUCAUUCUGGAUAAGAAAGAGAGACAACUGAUAGUACACAUUCAAGGAUUUUAGAAAGAAGGACAAAUGUGAUAUUAGUAAGUAGCUGCUGAUGUUUGAGGGAUGGGAUCCUGCUAGCAGGAUGGGACAAGAGAAUCUGCAGAAUCUGUUCUGUAGAAAGAGGAGAAAAGUGUGUCAAAGUGAUAGGAGCACAGGGGGGAAUGUGCAGCACAAGAAUAGGGGUAGGAUAAAAGAUUGGCAGGUUUUGUUAAUCUUUUCACUGAAGUAGUUGUCAAACUCAUGACC
Long non-coding RNA from Ictalurus punctatus (channel catfish), 1362 nucleotides. NCBI's taxonomy places the organism in Eukaryota, Metazoa, Chordata, Actinopteri, Siluriformes, Ictaluridae. The record is from Ensembl.